AAACCAACUGGGAUUACCUUAGUAACGGCGAGUGAAGCGGUAAAAGCUCAAAUUUGAAAUCUGGUACUUUCAGUGCCCGAGUUGUAAUUUGUAGAAUUUGUCUUUGAUUAGGUCCUUGUCUAUGUUCCUUGCAACAGGACGUCAUAGAGGGUGAGAAUCCCGUUUGGCGAGGAUACCUUUUCUCUGUAAGACUUUUUCGAAGAGUCGAGUUGUUUGGGAAUGCAGCUCAAAGUGGGUGGUAAAUUCCAUCUAAAGCUAAAUAUUGGCGAGAGACCGAUAGCGAACAAGUACAGUGAUGGAAAGAUGAAAAGAACUUUGAAAAGAGAGUGAAAAAGUACGUGAAAUUGUUGAAAGGGAAGGGCAUUUGAUCAGACAUGGUGUUUUUGCAUGCACUCGCCUCUCGUGGGCUUGGGCCUCUCAAAAAUUUCACUGGGCCAACAUCAAUUCUGGCAGCAGGAUAAAUCAUUAAGAAUGUAGCUACUUCGGUAGUGUUAUAGCUUUUUGGAAUACUGUUAGCCGGGUA
RNAcentral lists this ribosomal RNA (523 nucleotides) under uncultured Hanseniaspora. Its description in RNAcentral is "eukaryotic LSU rRNA". It matches the Rfam family "Eukaryotic large subunit ribosomal RNA", at positions 62 to 584 of the family's 3401-position model. Lineage: Eukaryota; Fungi; Ascomycota; Saccharomycetes; Saccharomycodales; Saccharomycodaceae. The record is from RNAcentral.